Molecule: ribosomal RNA, 273 nt
Filed under: uncultured bacterium
Lineage: Bacteria
Description: partial 16S ribosomal RNA
Rfam family: Bacterial small subunit ribosomal RNA
Source: RNAcentral
CACGUGUUACAAUGGCAGGUACAGAGGGGUGCUACCGGGUGACCGGAUGCCGAUCUCGAAAACCUGUCCCAGUUCGGACUGGAGUCUGCAACCCGACUCCACGAAGUUGGAUUCGCUAGUAAUCGCGCAUCAGCCAUGGCGCGGUGAAUACGUUCCCGGGCCUUGUACACACCGCCCGUCAAGCCAUGGGAGCCGGGGGCGCCUGAAGUGCGUGACCGCAAGGAGCGCCCUAAGGUAAAACCGGUGACUGGGGCUAAGUCGUAACAAGGUACC